Molecule: ribosomal RNA, 488 nt
Filed under: uncultured bacterium
Lineage: Bacteria
Description: bacterial SSU rRNA
Rfam family: Bacterial small subunit ribosomal RNA
Source: RNAcentral
CUGGCUCAGGAUGAACGCUGGCGGCGUGCUUAACACAUGCAAGUCGAACGAAGCUAAGGGAGCUUGCUCCCAAAGCUUAGUGGCGGACGGGUGAGUAACGCGUGGGUAACCUGCCCUAUAGAGGGGGAUAACGUUCGGAAACGAACGCUAAUACCGCAUAAACCAUAAAGAGCUGCAUGGCUCUGAUGGCAAAGAUUUAUCGCUAUAGGAUGGACCUGCGUUGGAUUAGCUAGUUGGUGAGAUAACAGCUCACCAAGGCGACGAUCCAUAGCCGGCCUGAGAGGGUGAACGGCCACAUUGGGACUGAGACACGGCCCAAACUCCUACGGGAGGCAGCAGUGGGGAAUAUUGCACAAUGGGCGCAAGCCUGAUGCCAGCGACGCCGCGUGAAGGAAGAAGGUCUUCGGAUUGUAAACUUCUAUCAGCAGGGAAGAAUAAAUGACGGUACCUGACUAAGAAGCCCCGGCUAACUACGUGCCAGCAGCGGC